AUUGAACGCUGGCGGCAUGCCUAACACAUGCCAGUCGAACGGGUGAUGCGAGCUUGCUGCUGCAUUCAGCGGCGAACGGGGGAGUAAUGCCUAUGAAUCUGCCUUGUCGUGGCGAAUAACGUCCUAAUACCGGCGCUAGUACCGCGUACGUCCUGUUGUAGACAUUGGGUGGGCUUCGGACCUCACGCUAUCAUAUUAGCAUAGGUCGCUUUAGCUAGUUGGUGGGAUAAAGGCCUACCAAGGCUACUAUCCGUAACUGGUCUGAGAGGAUGGUCAGUUAGCCUGGCACUGAGACAGGGCACAGACACCUAGAGGAGGAAGCAGUCGGGAAUCUUGGACAAUGGGCGAAAGCGUGAUAUAGCCAUGCGGGGUGAGUGAAGAAGGUCUUCGGAUUGGAAAGCACUUUAAGUUGGGAGGAAGGGAAGCAAGUUAAUCCGUUGCUGUUUUGACGUUACCAAGAGAAUAAGCACCGGCUAACUUCGUG
This 484-nucleotide ribosomal RNA is filed under the name uncultured bacterium. RNAcentral's name for it is "partial 16S ribosomal RNA". It matches the Rfam family "Bacterial small subunit ribosomal RNA", at positions 30 to 507 of the family's 1533-position model. The record is from RNAcentral.